This 72-nucleotide transfer RNA is filed under the name Bacteroidota bacterium. RNAcentral describes it as "Bacteroidetes bacterium (activated sludge metagenome) tRNA-His". It matches the Rfam family "tRNA". From Rfam's summary of the family: Transfer RNA (tRNA) molecules are approximately 80 nucleotides in length. Their secondary structure includes four short double-helical elements and three loops (D, anti-codon, and T loops). Lineage: Bacteria; Pseudomonadati; Bacteroidota. The record is from RNAcentral.
GGUGAAGCUGGUGUAUAGGCAACACGGCGGUUUGUGAGACCGCAGCAGAGGGUUCGAUUCCCUUCUUCACCC